ACCCUUAAAGGUGUAGGUUUUUGAACAUUCUAAGUUCCGCAACAAUUGAAGGUUCUAAAAUUCUAUGUUGAAUUCAAUGAACUGAGAUAUUCUUUAGAACGUUAAUUUCCCAGCAUUCCGUACUCCUUUAAUGGUUGAAUGUGAUUGG
Alosa sapidissima (American shad) is the source of this 148-nucleotide long non-coding RNA. RefSeq lists it as uncharacterized. The record is from RefSeq and is a predicted model, not a curated record. The transcript is spliced from 3 exons. Lineage: Eukaryota; Metazoa; Chordata; Actinopteri; Clupeiformes; Clupeidae.